GCUCUCUUUGGCAGCACAUACACUAAAAAAUUGGAGCAAUACAGAGAAGAUUAGCAUGGCCCCUGCGCAAGGAUGACACACAAAUUUGUGAAGCGUUCCAUAUUUUA
Small nuclear RNA from Phodopus roborovskii (desert hamster), 107 nucleotides. The record is from RefSeq and is a predicted model, not a curated record. Lineage: Eukaryota; Metazoa; Chordata; Mammalia; Rodentia; Cricetidae.